CUCUUCUCAAUGAGCUCCUUCCUGCCAGCAAAUCUCCGUGGCAGUUGAUGGAUUCGCACGAGAAGGAAAUUAACUGUACAGUACUGGCAAACUCACAGUGGGGCUCCAUCGAUUGUGAUUAGCCACUGCUGUCCUACAAGU
Small nucleolar RNA from Camarhynchus parvulus, 141 nucleotides. Its record names the gene SNORA75. It matches the Rfam family "Small nucleolar RNA SNORA75". From Rfam's summary of the family: U23 belongs to the H/ACA class of snoRNAs. snoRNAs bind a number of proteins (including dyskerin, Gar1p and Nop10p in the case of the H/ACA class) to form snoRNP complexes. This class are thought to guide the sites of modification of uridines to pseudouridines by forming direct base pairing interactions with substrate RNAs. Targets include ribosomal and spliceosomal RNAs as well as the Trypanosoma spliced leader RNA (SL RNA) as possibly other, still unknown cellular RNAs. The record is from Ensembl. NCBI's taxonomy places the organism in Eukaryota, Metazoa, Chordata, Aves, Passeriformes, Thraupidae.